Long non-coding RNA from Glycine soja, 257 nucleotides. RefSeq lists it as uncharacterized. The record is from RefSeq and is a predicted model, not a curated record. The transcript has 3 exons. Lineage: Eukaryota; Viridiplantae; Streptophyta; Magnoliopsida; Fabales; Fabaceae.
CUUUUCUGAAAAGUGAAAAACAACAAUCUUAAAGAGUUUCAUUUGUGGUCUUCCCAAAUCCCAUAUCGAUCAUCAAUGUGACAUAUUUUAUAUUGGAUGACAUUUUAUUGGAUGGAGCCAUGCAGGAGACUAGCAAGAGAACUACCCUGAGACUGAUGAUAAAUGCACAGGAGGAUUCAGUGGAAACUGCCAAAGAGGAAGCCAGCUCAUUGAGUAAUAUAAUCGCUCAAGCCACCAAGUAAGAGCAUCAUUGGGGA